CUACGUGCCAGCAGCCGCGGUAAUACGUAGGUGGCAAGCGUUGUCCGGAUUUAUUGGGCGUAAAGCGAGCGCAGGCGGUUCCUUAAGUCUGAUGUGAAAGCCCCCGGCUCAACCGGGGAGGGUCAUUGGAAACUGGGGAACUUGAGUGCAGAAGAGGAGAGUGGAAUUCCAUGUGUAGCGGUGAAAUGCGUAGAUAUAUGGAGGAACACCGGUGGCGAAAGCGGCUCUCUGGCUUGUAACUGACGCUGAGGCUCGAAAGCGUGGGGAGCAAACAGGAUUAGAUACCCUGGUAGUCCACGCCAUAAACGAUGAGUGCUAGGUGUUAGACCCUUUCCGGGGUUUAGUGCCGUAGCUAACGCAUUAAGCACUCCGCCUGGGGAGUACGACCGCAAGGUUGAAACUCAAAGGAAUAGACGGGGACCCGCACAAGCGGUGGAGCAUGUGGUUUAAUUCGAAGAUACGCGAAGAACCUUACCCGGACCUGAUAUC
Molecule: ribosomal RNA, 489 nt
Filed under: uncultured bacterium
Lineage: Bacteria
Description: bacterial SSU rRNA
Rfam family: Bacterial small subunit ribosomal RNA
Source: RNAcentral